CAAUAGCGUAUAUUAAAAUUGUUGCGGUUAAAACGCUCGUAGUUGGGUAUUUGUCAAUCACUACCGGUUGCUCCUCUGGAGUUUUACUAGGUUUGUGAGUGACAUUCUACCGGGGACAGUAUUUUCACUUCAUUGUGCAGUGCUGAAGCCGGGACCAUUACUUUGAGAAAAUUAAAGUGUUCAAAGCAGGCGCUCGCUUGAAUACAUUAGCAUGGAAUAAUAGUAUAGGACUUUGAUCUUAUUUGUUGGUUUUAAAGAUCAAAGUAAUGAUUGAUAGGGACAGUUGGGGGCAUCAGUAUUCUGAAGCGAGAGGUGAAAUUCUUGGACCUUCGGAAGACUAACAACUGCGAAAGCAUUUGCCAAGGAUGUUCUCUUUAAUUCAAGAACGAAAGUUA
Molecule: ribosomal RNA, 395 nt
Filed under: uncultured eukaryote
Lineage: Eukaryota
Description: bacterial SSU rRNA
Rfam family: Eukaryotic small subunit ribosomal RNA
Source: RNAcentral